CCUACGGGUGGCAGCAGUGGGGAAUAUUGCACAAUGGGCGCAAGCCUGAUGCAGCCAUGCCGCGUGUGUGAAGAAGGCCCUCGGGUUGUAAAGCACUUUCAGCGGGGAGGAAGGCGUUAAGGUUAAUAACCUUGUCGAUUGACGUUACCCGCAGAAGAAGCACCGGCUAACUCCGUGCCAGCAGCCGCGGUAAUACGGAGGGUGCAAGCGUUAAUCGGAAUUACUGGGCGUAAAGCGCACGCAGGCGGUCUGUCAAGUCGGAUGUGAAAUCCCCGGGCUCAACCUGGGAACUGCAUUCGAAACUGGCAGGCUAGAGUCUUGUAGAGGGGGGUAGAAUUCCAGGUGUAGCGGUGAAAUGCGUAGAGAUCUGGAGGAAUACCGGUGGCGAAGGCGGCCCCCUGGACAAAGACUGACGCUCAGGUGCGAAAGCGUGGGGAGCAAUCAGGAUUAGAUACCCUAGUAGUC
Molecule: ribosomal RNA, 465 nt
Filed under: uncultured Klebsiella sp.
Lineage: Bacteria; Pseudomonadati; Pseudomonadota; Gammaproteobacteria; Enterobacterales; Enterobacteriaceae
Description: bacterial SSU rRNA
Rfam family: Bacterial small subunit ribosomal RNA
Source: RNAcentral